UAUGUGUUUCUUAUGCGGUUACAACGGUGACAAUGCGCCUAAUUUGCUGUCUGACAUGCAGCAUGAUCGGUGGGGGUUGAAAGUGUGGCGAUGCCAAUGUCAGAGACUGAACUUGUUAGGUUGGUUCUCACAGUAAAAGUGUACCAAAUGGACCAUGGGAGUUCCCCAACGAAGAAAUGUAAGUCUGUUGUGGAUGAAGAUUUCCUCAGCAAUCUACCUGAAGCUCUCAGAGACAAAAUCCUUUGUUGUCUGCCAAUAAAAGAAGCUGUUGGAACAUGCCUCUUGUCAAGGAGUUGGAGGUACACACGGGCUUCAAUGACCGAACUGAUGUUCAGAAGAGCUGAUUUUGCUUCAGGAAAUGACAGUGCAGACGGUGACCGCAGAUUUCUUAAGUUCACCGAUAUGUUUCUCUUCCUCCACAACGGCCCAAUUCUGAAGUUUGGCCUGAAUACCAUAGCAAAUGAAAUGGUAUCCACUGGAGGACACCUUUACCGUUGGAUGCUUAUGCUGUCAAGAAAUAAGAUUAAGGAGAUUCAACUUCAGACAAGUAUACGUGACAGUUACAAGGUCCCGUCUAGUUUUUUCUCCUGCGAUGAACUAGAAUAUGUGUAUCUGCGAGCUUGUGUUUUCACUAGUUUACAUUUGCCGCAUCUAUCUGAAGGCUUCAAACAAUUGCAUACUCUUCGUCUAGAACAUGUCACUGUGCAAGGAAACAGUUUAGGGGAUUUAGUAGCGAGUUGCCCGAAUUUGGAGAAACUUAAUAUUCGUGGAUUGUGUAGCAAAUCCAAUAUCAAUAUUCGUUCAACAAAGCUCAAGAUGCUAAAAAUUGAAGGCCAGUUUACACACCUCAAUCUGCAUGCUCCUUAUCUUACUUCCAUAUGGAUCAGACUGGAGCUGAAAUCUGAGACAGAUGGUGCUUCGACGGCCAGAUGCAACUUCAAUCUUUCUCCAUUUAUUGCUUCUCUUUCAGAUGUUGAGACUAUUAGGUUUCAUGGACACAUCCUUGAGUGCGUAGAACAUGAAUUUCUGAUUCUCAAGCAGCCAAAAUUAUUCAACCGGCUGACAGAGAUAAGCCUGGAGAUCAAUCUCGGUGAUCUCAAGGAAGCAAAUUUUGCCUUGUGCUUAUUUCAGCAAGCCCCCAACCUGCGAUUUGUCAAACUAAAGCUCAUUUCCAGGAAUUCCGUGGUACCAACAGUGCAUUUCUGGGAAUCAAUAGACCGUGAUGUCUGUCUCUUCCAGAACGUUGAAGUACUUGGUUUGUUCGACUAUACUGGCUCCAUUGCGGAGCUAGGCUUCUUGAAACUUUUACUUGAAGAUGCACCAGUGUUAAGAAAAGUGGGAAUAAUCGACAAGGGAUUGGACAGAAAUGUCCUAAAAAAUCUCCUGAAGCUAGAAGAGCAUCAAAGGAUGCAGAAAUAUUGAUUCUUGAGGCUUGUUUCCCCCACUAGAAA
Aegilops tauschii subsp. strangulata is the source of this 1451-nucleotide RNA transcript. It is a transcript of the gene named F-box/FBD/LRR-repeat protein At1g13570, with no coding region annotated. The record is from RefSeq and is a predicted model, not a curated record. NCBI's taxonomy places the organism in Eukaryota, Viridiplantae, Streptophyta, Magnoliopsida, Poales, Poaceae.